CGGCUUUCCUAUUUUGUUGGUUUCUAGGGGAGCCGUAAUGAUUAAUAGGGUCAGUCGGGGGCAUCAGUAUUCAAUUGUCAGAGGUGAAAUUCUUGGAUUUAUUGAAGACUAACUACUGCGAAAGCAUUUGCCAAGGAUGUUUUCAUUAAUCAGUGAACGAAAGUUAGGGGAUCGAAGACGAUCAGAUACCGUCGUAGUCUUAACCAUAAACUAUGCCGACUAGGGAUCGGGCGAUGUUACUAUCUUGACUCGCCCGGCACCUUACGAGAAAUCAAAGUUUUUGGGUUCUGGGGGGAGUAUGGUCGCAAGGCUGAAACUUAAAGAAAUUGACGGAAGGGCACCACAAGGCGUGGAACCUGCGGCUUAAUUUGACUCAACACGGGGAAACUCACCAGGUCCAGAUACAAGUAGGAUUGACAGAUWGAGAGCUCUUUCUUGAUUUUGUAGUUGGUGGUGCAUGGCCGUUCUUAGUUGGUGGAGUGAUUUGUCUGCUUAAUUGCGAUAACGAACGAGACCUUAACCUGCUAAAUAGCCCGGCUCGCUUUGGCGGGUCGCCGGCUUCUUAGAGGGACUAUCGGCUCAAGCCGAUGGAAGUUUGAGGCAAUAACAGGUCUGUGAUGCCCUUAGAUGUUCUGGGCUGCACGCGCGUUACACUGACAGAGCCAUCGAGUUUUUUUCCUUGGCCCGGAAGGUCUGGGUAAUCUUGUUAAACUCUGUCGUGC
RNAcentral lists this ribosomal RNA (722 nucleotides) under uncultured fungus. Its description in RNAcentral is "SSU rRNA". It matches the Rfam family "Eukaryotic small subunit ribosomal RNA", at positions 839 to 1590 of the family's 1831-position model. Lineage: Eukaryota; Fungi. The record is from RNAcentral.